AGUGAACGCUGGCGGUAGGCCUAACACAUGCAAGUCGAACGGCAGCACAGUAAGAGCUUGCUCUUACGGGUGGCGAGUGGCGGACGGGUGAGGAAUACAUCGGAAUCUACUUUUUCGUGGGGGCUAACGUAGGGAAACUUACGCUAAUACAGCAUACGACCUACGGGUGAAAGCAGGGGAUCUUCGGACCUUGCGCGAUUGAAUGAGCCGAUGUCGGAUUAGCUAGUUGGCGGGGCAAAGGCCCACCACGGCGACGAUCCGUAGCUGGUCUGAGAGGAUCAUCACCCAGACUGGAACAGAGAAAGGGCCCAGACUCCUGCGGGAGGACGCAGUCGGGAAUAUUGGACGAGGGGGGAGAGCCUGAUCCAGGCAUACCGCGUGGAGGAAGAAGGACCUCGGGUUCGAAAGCCCUUUUGUUGGGAAAGAAGAGCAGCAGGUUAAUACCCCGCUGUUCUGACGGUACCCAAAGAAUAAGCACCGGCUAACUUCGUG
Molecule: ribosomal RNA, 492 nt
Filed under: uncultured bacterium
Lineage: Bacteria
Description: partial 16S ribosomal RNA
Rfam family: Bacterial small subunit ribosomal RNA
Source: RNAcentral